Molecule: ribosomal RNA, 443 nt
Filed under: uncultured bacterium
Lineage: Bacteria
Description: partial 16S ribosomal RNA
Rfam family: Bacterial small subunit ribosomal RNA
Source: RNAcentral
CCUACGGGUGGCAGCAGUGGGGAAUAUUGGACAAUGGGCGCAAGCCUGACCCAGCCACGCCGCGUGAAGGAAGAAGGCUUUCGGGUUGUAAACUUCUUUUCUCAGGGACGAAGCAAGUGACGGUACCUGAGGAAUAAGCCACGGCUAACUACGUGCCAGCAGCCGCGGUAAUACGUAGGUGGCAAGCGUUAUCCGGAUUUACUGGGUGUAAAGGGCGUGUAGGCGGGACGGCAAGUCAGAUGUGAAAACCAUGGGCUCAACCUAUGGACUGCAUUUGAUACUGGAGUUCUUGAGUACCGGAGAGGAAGACGGAAUUCCUAGUGUAGCGGUGAAAUGCGUAGAUAUCAGGAGGAACACCAGUGGCGAAGGCGGCCUCCUGGACAGCAACUGACGCUGAGGCGCGAAAGCGUGGGGAGCAAACAGGAUUAGAUACCCUAGUAGUC